Molecule: ribosomal RNA, 445 nt
Filed under: uncultured bacterium
Lineage: Bacteria
Description: SSU rRNA
Rfam family: Bacterial small subunit ribosomal RNA
Source: RNAcentral
AGAACGAACGCUGGCGGCAGGCCUAAUACAUGCAAGUCGAACGCACUCUUCGGAGUGAGUGGCAGACGGGUGAGUAACGCGUGGGAACCUUCCCAAUGGUACGGAAUAACUCCGGGAAACCGGUGCUAAUACCGUAUAAGCCCCUCGGGGGAAAGAUUUAUCGCCAUUGGAUGGGCCCGCGUCGGAUUAGCUAGUUGGUAAGGUAAUGGCUUACCAAGGCUACGAUCCGUAGCUGGUCUGAGAGGAUGAUCAGCCACACUAGGACUGAGACACGGCCCAGACUCCUACGGGAGGCAGCAGUAGGGAAUCUUGGACAAUGGGCGAAAGCCUGAUCCAGCCAUGCCGCGUGAGUGAAGAAGGCCUUAGGGUUGUAAAGCUCUUUUGGCGGGGACGAUAAUGACGGUACCCGCAGAAUAAGCCCGGCUAACUUCGUGCCAGCAGCCGC